AAAAUAAAAAGUGCUUUUUGAAAAUGUUGAGGUUGAAAUGAUGGGAACCAACAUUCUUUGGAUUUAGGGGAGAGAUUGUAGGAGAAAACACCUCCCCUUGGUUCGUACAUGUACGAGAAUGGGACCCAGUGGGAGCACAGCCAUGGACUUCUUCACUCCGGAAUGUAUUGCGCUAAAGUGGGGCUGGGGCCCAGGCCUAGGAGGAGAGGGUGGUCCGCAGACACCCCAGGAUGUUGGCAGGUCCCCACCUGCCUUCUGGCACCUCCUCCCGGGUGCUGCAGUGAGUCAGCCGGCAUGGGGUGAGAACCCGUUGCAUGCUGGGAACAGGGUGCAGGGGACCAGUGUGCCUCCUGCAGCCUUGACCGGGGGCAUGCACCACCGCACCCCCAAACACACACAAGCACUUCUUCGGGAUGGCUUCCAGGACAGGUGUCCCUUCAGUCCCCUGGUUAUGAGCCCAGUCCCACUCAGACCCUGCAGCCCAGCCUGUCUUGUAACCACUGCCUCCUCAAGGCCACAUCUAGAAGAUUCUUCUUCCCUGUGAAAGAAAAUCAUUGUCAUUGCUUCAUCACUUCUAAGACAUUUUGUAGGGCAUGGACAAGUUAAACAGAAUGUGCUUUCCUCCCUGGGGUCUCGCUGUACCACGGGCUCCCUAGCGAACGCCACAGGGGCCGUACACUGGGCGAGCUUCUCUGUAGAGCCCUGGGAGCUUCAGCUCGGAGCACAGCGUCUCACCCUAAGCCUACAGCAGUGAGCCCCGAACUUCUGCAUUCACAGACCAUCUCCACAAUUUUUAUCAUAACCAAAGGCCUCCUGGUCUGUUAUUUCACUUAAAUCAACAUGCGAUUUUGUUUUGACUCACUUCUGACUUUAGUCUUGCGCUGAGCGGUGUAUCCAUGCAGUCAUGUUCACAUGCUAGUUAUGUUUUUCUUCUUACACAUGAAAACAAAUGCGUAACUGUUAGA
This is a long non-coding RNA of Cebus imitator (Panamanian white-faced capuchin), 965 nucleotides long. RefSeq lists it as uncharacterized. The record is from RefSeq and is a predicted model, not a curated record. The transcript is spliced from 2 exons. Lineage: Eukaryota; Metazoa; Chordata; Mammalia; Primates; Cebidae.